Vidua chalybeata is the source of this 353-nucleotide long non-coding RNA. RefSeq lists it as uncharacterized. The transcript has 3 exons. The record is from RefSeq and is a predicted model, not a curated record. NCBI's taxonomy places the organism in Eukaryota, Metazoa, Chordata, Aves, Passeriformes, Viduidae.
CUGGGAAUGAAUUUGGUCACCUUGCCCUGGUACAUAUUUACAAAACUCAAGGAAGUGCCAUGGAAUUUGAUGCAGUUAUCAGUCUCACUUUAAAGGGGUACCAGAAUUGAAAUGAUAGAAAUCUCACCGACCAGGAUUGAGAUGUCAACAUUAAAGAAGCCUGGACUUUGAGAAGGCACCCAUGCUUAUGUAAAUUAUGGACAAAAUACUCUCCUAAGUUGUUUUGAGAGUGCCUGUUUUUCACUUAAUCAAGCAAAAACUAAUAAGGCAGCAAGGCUGACUUUCUAAAUUCUGCUAAAAUAAACUUACAGGAUUAAGAUAUACAGGUGUUCAGGCAGAGCAUCAUAAUAGCA